RNAcentral lists this ribosomal RNA (251 nucleotides) under uncultured bacterium. RNAcentral's name for it is "partial 16S ribosomal RNA". It matches the Rfam family "Bacterial small subunit ribosomal RNA", at positions 526 to 776 of the family's 1533-position model. The record is from RNAcentral.
CGUAGGGUGCGAGCGUUAAUCGGAAUUACUGGGCGUAAAGCGUGCGCAGGCGGUUUUGUAAGCCCGGUGUGAAAUCCCCGGGCUUAACCUGGGAAUGGCAUUUGGGACUGCAAGGCUUGAGUGCGGCAGAGGAGACUGGAAUUCCUGGUGUAGCAGUGAAAUGCGUAGAUAUCAGGAGGAACACCAGUGGUGAAGGCGGCUUCCUGGCCUGUUCUUGACGCUGAGGCGCGAAAGCUAGGGGAGCAAACGGG